AACAUCUUUAGCUGACCCCCUAAUUAAGUAUUCAAUAGUCCAAACUAUUAAAUGGGAAUGCAUCCCAUCAUGACCAGUCAUAAAGGGAAAAUAGUGACACUUUCCAGAUUCCACAUCCUGCUCAACUUAAGGCCAACUCCCUACAUAUCUUUCUCAUGAGGUGCAGUUGCAUAUACAGUAUAUAUUGAAUUGCCUAUAAUAUCACAAAAUUAUAUCACGUAAAAUGUAGAUCUGCAAGCGUUAAUGGGGAAUACUUUAAAAAUAAAUUAUUUGGAGGUUACCUAGAAUCCCGAGUUUUAUCAAAUUUAAUAGACAUACCGUAAGUUUGCUUUGGCACCUAGUCUUUCAUUGCUGCAACUCCCAAGGUCCAAUCUCAUUUUAAGAGCCAAGGCUUUUGUAUACUUCUUUAAGAGUUGAAGCCUCACCACACACUUGGACUUGGCUAAGGAAACAUUUUCAUGGUGUUCACAACGGUUGGAACACUUCAGUAACUAAUACAAUGACAUUGUACAAUGAUUCACUUCCCAGUGCAAUUGUUCACACUUCACAGUACAUUCAACUGUCCAAAGAUGCUCAAAAUGAGACUGGAAUAUGGCAAAGUAGAUUAAAUCAUGUAUUGUGUGAUGUAAGCAAAUGCCUGUCUUGGGAUCACACAUGACUGUCCACAAUUCACUGUUGCUUAUAUUGCCUUUAAAAUGAGUAGUCUUAUAAAUUGCAACUGCAAAAAUAUGUGCACUGAAUUUUAAUAUAUUUUUUAAACAAAUACAUAAUGGUAAAAACCAUACAUCAAAUGUUUGUACCUGCAGGGAUUACACACUGUAUGGUACCCUGUAUUACUGUUUAACAAUUUUAUAAUACCCAUAACAUAGUUCUGGAUCCAGUGUUACUAUACUUCCUCAAGUUACCUUUGAUUUAUAAUUGAAGGGGUUAUACUCUGUAUAGAAUUAAAUCUUUUAUAACAAAAGAGAGAAUGCUUCUAUCAAUCUAUUUUUCUUACAGGGGUUUAAAGAAUGUGACACAGAUAUCCAUCCAAGAAUCUGAUCUUGGCAUAGUGAAAGACAAGGCUUUUGAAGGCCUGUAUAAUGUUGGUGAACUGAGGAUUAUUAAUAACAAGGUAGAUGAACUGGAAUCAUUAGAGGUCUUGGAAGAAUCUAAUGUUGAUGGAGUCAUUGUCCAAGGUAAUCAUUUUCUUCAAGUCAACAAAGAACAACCCUUUCGCAUUCAUGCCAACCAACGGACAGUUGUCACAGGUAAUUAUGUGCCCUGUUCUUGUCAGUUAUGGUGGGUGCUGGAAUCUCCACUAGCCAAAAAUAAUUCUCUUUUUAUACGGCAUAACUACUGUGUUUCACCUUUUGUUCUUCAUGGUAAGGCUAUAACCACAGUGGAUCAGGAAAAUCUCCCACGAUGCCCUGCAUCUCAAGAGCUUCAACUCCCUAGUAACCAAGAUCCCUCAAAGGCAUCAUCUGCAACUGCAAGUGCAAGCACCAUCUCCAUAAAUAAUGCUAUCUUCUUUCUCCUUAUCUUCCCAUUUUGGUGACCUAACAUCCAGCUUGGAGGAACAAUGUGUUAAAUUUUACAAGUCAUACGUUGUACUGUACAGGUUAAGGAUGUUGUCAUCAAUGUUUAUGUUGUUCAGUUGACUUCACCUUCCAUCUUGUGAAGUACUAGUACACAUGCUUCAUAAACAAAUAUUUGAAACUCCACUCUUUAAAACUGUAAAUUUUGCUUUGUAUAAUGCUAACUAUGACAGUUAGUAUAAGCAUAUUUCUUUUCAGGGACCACAGAUUUUGUUCUGUUUGGUUAUUUAGUCAGAAAUUUUAAUUUUGAGUUGGAGUUUAAAGAAAACCUUAAUAAACUGGAAAAUAUGCUAAGGAAGUAACUCUGCAUCUUUAUAUGAUGAUAAAGCUGCAAGUCUACAUUUCUAAAACAUUCAGCACCUGGUAGGUAAGCAGGAGACUGCAGAAGGAAAAAGGAUUACAAGGUGGUAGGUGAGACAUGAAUUUGGUAGCCUUUUAUUAUAUCUAAAAAGUUCCCUUGGGGUUCAGAAUUGUAUUGCUAGAAAAUAACUUAGAGCAUUAUUUUAUCAGCAAGCCAUAAUUAAUUAGCCUCAUGCCAUGCCAAAUAAAAAUCAUGCAACUGUACAUUGCCUUCUCUAUACAUUUAAGAGAUUUUCAAAAAUAUUGGCAUGCUUUAAUUGAUGAGGUGAAUGGAGAUUUUCAUAAAUAAUGUCCCCUCCAAAGGACCAGGACCUUUUUUAAUAUGUAUAACUAAAUUGGUAGGUAAUAAUUCAGUUCACAAACUAGAAACUCAAUUGCUUUAAUGAAAAACUGUUGAUAAGAAGUUUGGCACAAAAAACUUGAAAAUUUUAUAACUAUACAGUCCAGCUGUAUUAUGUUUUGCCUUCAUUGAAUUCAUCUUUAACACCUAAUAUAGAAAUAAGAAUUUCUGAGAGUAGGUAUUUUAUGGGAAUGAAAUUAGCAACAAACUUUAAGUCAUGAUGAGGCCUAAAAAUCAAGCAGAAACAGUGAGUGAGUUUAUCACUACUCUACUUCCUUGUUGGACGGGUGGUUUUCGUGCUCGCCUGCCAAUUUGGUGGUCCGAAGUUCAAUUCUCCAUUCGGCCAACACGGAAUCAGAGAAAUUUAUUUCUGGUGAUAGAAAUUUUCUCGAUAUAAUGUGGUUCGGAUCCCACAAUAAGCUGUAGGUCCCGUUGCUACGAAAUUUUUUGGUUCCUAGCCAAGUAAAAAAUAUCUAAUCCUUCAGGCCAGCCCUAGGAGAGCUGUUAAUCAGCUCAGUGGUCUGGUUAAACUAAGAUAUACUUAUCACUACUGUUUAUUUCUUGCCUAUGAUUCAUAAGAUAAAAGAAGAAUGCCUAUGAUAUGAUAAAUAAACAAGAAAUGCACCUAAAUUUCUUCAGCACAAUUGAGUUUCCUGUAUGGCGUGCUAUAAUGCUGUAUGAAACCCACCCAUGGCCCAUAAAACUCUCAGCAGUGGCCCAUGAAACUUUCAGCUAUGGCUCAGUGAUUGCCUCUAUGGUGCCAGACACACGAUCAUGACUAAUUUUAACCUUAAAUAAAAUCACAACUACUAAGGUAAGUGGUCUGCAAUUUGUAUGUUUGAUGAUUGGGUGGAUGAUCAACAUACCAAUUUACAGCCCUCUAGCCGCAGUAGUUUUUAAGAUCUGAGGGCGGACAGAAAAAGUACGGAUGGACAGAUAAAUAGCCAUCUCAAUAGUUUUCUUUUAAAGAAAACUAAAACUCGUGUAUUAUAAAUAAAUACAGAAGCUUAAGUUUUAAAAAUCCUUUACAUGUAUUCAACAAAAGUGAAGUUUCCAUAUUUUUUUCUUAUCACAAGACUGUCUUAUUCUCCCUGUCAUUCACUGUUGCUAUAAAUUUGUGAGUGUGAUAAACAUUUACUAAACAUGAAAUCAUCUUUAAGGAAGUGUUUUGACAUUCUGACACCUGUGCCUCCUUAUACUACUGUAUACUCAGGAUCUCUCGAUAAUUCAGAUUUUGUUUAAUAUCACUGUUAUUGGAUAACUUUAUGGGUAGAGGAUAUUUCCAACAAAGUUCAUACACUCACUACACUAAAUACUGUACUUAAUAUGUGUACCACUAAAUUUGUUAUAACACAAAUACAUUGGAUAAGCAAGAAUGUCCAUUUUAUAAUUUUCAUCAGUGCUUAUACUGUAUUUAUUCAUCAAGACCUCUUACUUGAAUUAGUAACAAGAUAAAACAUGCACAUGGCAGUUACCCUAAAGAUUGAGCAGUUACCCUAAAAUAUGAUGUCCAAAGAAUGAAAAGUGAAGAGACCCUACCUGCCACACCACUCACUAUCAACAAGAUAUUGACACAAUCUAUUGGAUUUAUUGUGAAGAAUUUUAAGUGCCAUAUGAGUGGUCAUAGAAUGUCAUUAUAAGAGAUUUACUGAAGAAGGAAUAUUUAUAUGCAAUAGACUUCUGCUCUACCACUGAUUAAAACAACAAAUUCCAUGAAGAAUAGUUGAAACACUGGAAGCCAUUCAUUGUUUUGAAACUUUUUUCUUAAACUGCUAAUACUGAUAUCCCUCAUUUGGGAAUAUCACUCAAAGAUAAUUGGAUGAUAAACCCCCUCAGUACAACCCCAGACUUUGUUACACUGUUGAUUGAUAUGUUUGCAUUGGCACAAUUACUAGUACUAAAGGUUCCUUGUCGAAUUCCUUCAGCUCAAGCCAAACUGUUUUUGGGUAAACUCAAAAUCCAUUUGCAUGAUCACAAGGUUGUGUGCAACCUGUAAAAUUUACAUUGGGUAAUAACAAAUACAUAUAGGCUAGUAACAGCAACAAACAUAAUAAGCAGGUUUUGAGGAAUGAAAAGCCUAUUUUUGGUAGUCGCUGUUAAUUCCUCAAAGGAGUUACCCUCCAUGGUGUGCUAGUGCUCUCCAUGGUGACUAGACUAAUAUCAAAGAAAUAUCUUUUAGCAUGGUCUUGUAGUCAGGUAUUGUGCUGUAAUGAUAAACACUAUGAGGUGAUAGAGGCCGACCCCAGUUUUCCCCACGUCAAAAUCUGGAAGAUGAAGUGACUAAUGCGAGUCAGCCAUCUUGUUUGUGACCGGGCUGGUUAAAAGACCAUGGACCAUUACUCUUUUGGUAAAUGUAAGAUGAUCCUUCACCCAAAUCCCAUGCUUUUUCAUCAGAAAAGUGCAGGGUUUUGAGGACUCAACAUAGUCGCUUUUUUCGUCCUCAAAGGAGCAUUAUAAAGAAAAUUGACAGGUGACCAAAGGCUUAAGCUUUAAAAAAAAUUUUAUCCUAACAACCCAGAGACAAAAACUAAAACAUUUCUGGCCUAAGGUCAAGCCACAAGUUUGGUAACAAAAACCAAUAAACUAAACAAGAACUUAUGUUUGUAGGGUGAAGCUCUAUAAUGACUCUUGUCGCACCUUCCCCAGCAAUAGUCAGCAUACCCAACCAUUAGGAAGACCCCUGGUGUUCCUUUUUAGUGCCUAUGGAGUUAGGGCUAACCAUACCACCUACUAUUACUACACAGUGUAGUUGAAUUUGUUUGAGCUCAUAGCAGUAAUGUUUUAAGAAUACAUACUGUUUGUGCUGGUACUGUCUGUGCUGACCACCCUGUACAUUUGGAGAACUCUUCGAAAGAGACAUUUCUGAAGAAAGCCAACAACGUACUUACCUUCUCCAAUGAGGGAUACUAAC
Macrobrachium nipponense is the source of this 5188-nucleotide long non-coding RNA. RefSeq lists it as uncharacterized. NCBI's taxonomy places the organism in Eukaryota, Metazoa, Arthropoda, Malacostraca, Decapoda, Palaemonidae. The transcript is spliced from 3 exons. The record is from RefSeq and is a predicted model, not a curated record.